Mauremys mutica (yellowpond turtle) is the source of this 1189-nucleotide long non-coding RNA. RefSeq lists it as uncharacterized. The transcript has 4 exons. Lineage: Eukaryota; Metazoa; Chordata; Testudines; Geoemydidae. The record is from RefSeq and is a predicted model, not a curated record.
GAGACCUCGCACACGUUACACGGCGGCUCCGCCUCUUCGUCAGCCAGGCCGAGACGUCGCUCUCCGUGGCCGCCCGCCUUUGUGGUCGCGCUGCCGCUCAGCCAGGCCGCAAUACUAACUACCGCCAAGUGCGCGCCUCUCCCGCCGCCCGCGUCCAGGCGCCAUUUACCGCGGGUACUUAGCCACCCCCACCCCCCGAGCGCCUAUCCCCCAGGGGAUCCCUCAGGCGCCUACUCCCAUCUCCCCAGAAACCUCGCAGCCUCCAUCCACACCCCCUCCAAGGCCACCCCGCCGCGAGUCGGGCUCCCGCAGCCACGGCCGCGUUCAACGCCACCACUCAAAAUGGCGGCCGCGCCCGAGCUAGGCCUCGCGAAGAGUCGUCGCCGCCGCUCCGCCCCCACCGAGAGGAUUCUCGCGGCCUUCAGCGCCCUCCACACGCUCGCCCACCCCCCUGCUCGGGGGCGGAGGUGUCUGUCCGCCCCCAGGGCCCGAACUGCUGCAGCCACCUCCUCCGGGUACACCGGGCGGGCUGGGCUGCGGCUAGCUCGGGCCCUUCUCCCCGUACUCACCGGGAGAUCCUCACACUCUCCUCGAUGUGCGGCGACGGUGGACUCUAUGGUGGGGGGAGCGAAGAAACCUCUGCCUCCUCGCUUCCCACCGGCGGGCGCGUUGCUUGCUUGGCAAACUACGCAGCGAAGGCAGAAACAGGCAGAAUUGGAUGAAGAUUCACACCAAAAAAUUGCAACCGAUAUGAACCUCUCAGAAACUGCACCCUACAGAUGAUUUUACCAAAAGUUCCUGCUUUGGAUUAAGGUGGUUCACGCCAACUAAUGAGGUCCCUCUCUGUGGUCAUGCUACAAUGGCAUCAGCUGCUGUUAUUCCAUAUAAAAAUAUCAGUGAAUCAUUUGGUCAGCUUCUUGAGAAAGGACUAUUCUGAGUAAGUGCCCAAUCAAGAAACACUUAAUUGACAAUGGACUUUGGGAGAUGCCAAUCCACAUCUGAGCUUUCGUGGGAACGUUCGAACUAACAUGUAAACAAUGGCAUCAGCCUGCAAAAAGCCGAAUCAUUCGUGGACAUGUGACUUGUCCAGGGGCCUACAAACUCCAUCUUGUUGCUGUGAUUUUCCACAGAAGAACAAAGGGGUUUCUGCCCACAAGAGAGAGAGAGAAUAUUAAAAGGCCCUGGAAGC